UUUUUUAAGAGGUGAUAAUUUUGUAUUGUAAUUUGAUAUUGUGUUCUGUGUAAUAUGGAAGACAAUCAUAUUAAAAAUACUUACAAGCGCCUAUAAAAAAAUGAAUAUCGCUUAGUCUAUGAAACAAAAGCAACAGAGUUGGAAAGAGAGAAUUGUUAUUACAACAAAGAGAGAGAGAGAAAGAUAGAGAAGACUGUGACUACAACAGAGAGGGAGAGAGAGAGAGAACUUUAACUACAACAGAGAGAUAGAGAGGUCUGUAAUUAAACAGAGAGAAAGAGAGAACUGUGACUACAACAGAGUGAGAGAGAGAGUGAGACAGUGAGAGGGAAACAUCUAUCCAUAGAUUUGCAUUUAACAAUAGUAAGAAUAAUAAUUAAAAAAAAAAAUAAAAUAAG
Non-coding RNA from Biomphalaria pfeifferi, 398 nucleotides. Lineage: Eukaryota; Metazoa; Mollusca; Gastropoda; Planorbidae. The record is from the annotation of a GenBank genome assembly.